CUCAGAUCAUGUAAGAUUUUAAUGAUCGAACAGAUCAAAAUUUUAAACUUUUGCAUUUAAAUUUUAUCUUAAUCCAACAUCGAGGUCGCAAACUUUUUUUUUUAUUUGAGCUAAAAAAAAAUAUUACGCUGUUAUCCCUAAGGUAAUUUUUUCUUAUAAUCAUUAUUAAUGGAUCAUUUAAUCAUUUAUUUAUGUUUAAUUUUUAAAAAAAGUUCAUUAAAUUUUUCUAUCACCCCAAUAUAAUAUUUAAUUUUAUUUUAAUAAAAAAUUUAAUAUAAUUUUAAAAUAAAAAUAAAUAUAAAACUCUAUAGGGUCUUCUCGUCUUUUAAAAUUAUUUUAGCUUUUUAACUAAAAAAUAAAAUUCUAAAAAUAAAUAAGAGACAGUCUAUAUUUCAUCAAAUCUUUCAUACAAGUUUUCAAUUAAAAAACUAUUGAUUAUGCUACCUUUGUACAGUCAUUAUACUGCAGCCCUUUAAUAAUUAUCAGUGGGCAGAUUAGACUUUAAAUUAUAAUCAAAAAGACAUGUUUUUG
RNAcentral lists this ribosomal RNA (531 nucleotides) under Davidina sculda. RNAcentral describes it as "partial 16S rRNA". The record is from RNAcentral. Lineage: Eukaryota; Metazoa; Arthropoda; Insecta; Lepidoptera; Nymphalidae.